CUUUCUUUUUUGGGUGGCGAGUGGCGGACGGGUGAGGAAUACAUCGGAAUCUACUUUUUCGUGGGGGAUAACGUAGGGAAACUUACGCUAAUACCGCAUACGACCUACGGGUGAAAGCAGGGGAUCUUCGGCCUUCGCGAUUGAAUGAGCCAUGUCGGAUUAGCUAGUUGGCGGGGUAAAGGCCCACCAAGGCGACGAUCCUAGCUGGUCUGAGAGGAUGAUCAGCCACACUGGAACUGAGACACGGUCCAGACUCCUACGGGAGGCAGCAGUGGGGAAUAUUGNACAAUGGGGCAACCUGAUCCAGCCAUACCGCGUGGGUGAAGAAGGCCUUCGGGUUGUAAAGCCCUUUUGUUGGAAAGAAAUCCAGCCGCUAAUACCCUGUUGGGAUGACGUACCCAAGAAAAGCC
Molecule: ribosomal RNA, 410 nt
Filed under: Stenotrophomonas maltophilia
Lineage: Bacteria; Pseudomonadati; Pseudomonadota; Gammaproteobacteria; Lysobacterales; Lysobacteraceae
Description: bacterial SSU rRNA
Rfam family: Bacterial small subunit ribosomal RNA
Source: RNAcentral